GACGAACGCUGGCGGCGUGCUUAACACAUGCAAGUCGAACGGAAAGGCCCAGCUUGCUGGGUACUCGAGUGGCGAACGGGUGAGUAACACGUGGGUGAUCUGCCCUGCACUCUGGGAUAAGCCUGGGAAACUGGGUCUAAUACCGGAUAUGACCAACUGUCGCAUGGUGGUUGGUGGAAAGCUUUUGCGGUGUGGGAUGGGCCCGCGGCCUAUCAGCUUGUUGGUGGGGUAAUGGCCUACCAAGGCGACGACGGGUAGCCGACCUGAGAGGGGGAUCGGCCACACUGGGACUGAGACACGGCCCAGACUCCUACGGGAGGCAGCAGUGGGGAAUAUUGCACAAUGGGCGCAAGCCUGAUGCAGCGACGCCGCGUGAGGGAUGACGGCCUUCGGGUUGUAAACCUCUUUCACCAGGGACGAAGCGUGAGUGACGGUACCUGGAGAAGAAGCACCGGCCAACUACGUG
Molecule: ribosomal RNA, 466 nt
Filed under: uncultured bacterium
Lineage: Bacteria
Description: partial 16S ribosomal RNA
Rfam family: Bacterial small subunit ribosomal RNA
Source: RNAcentral